GUGAGGAAUUUUCCGCAAUGGGCGAAAGCCUGACGGAGCAAUGCCGCGUGAAGGAUGAAGGCCUAUGGGUUGUAAACUUCUUUUCUCAGAAAAGAAUUAUGACGGUAUCUGAGGAAUAAGCAUCGGCUAACUCUGUGCCAGCAGCCGCGGUAAGACAGAGGAUGCAAGCGUUAUCCGGAAUGAUUGGGCGUAAAGCGUCUGUAGGUUGUUUAAAAAGUAUUCUGUCAAAGAUUAGGGCUUAACCCUAGAUAGGCAGAAUAAACUUUUAAGCUAGAGGUUGGUAGAGGCAGAGGGAAUUCCCGGUGGAGCGGUGAAAUGCGUAGAUAUCGGGAGGAACACCAAAGGCGAAGGCACUCUGCUGGGCCAAUACUAACACUGAGAGACGAAAGCGAGGGGAGCAAAUGGGAUUAGAUACCCCAGUAGUCC
RNAcentral lists this ribosomal RNA (426 nucleotides) under uncultured bacterium. Its description in RNAcentral is "bacterial SSU rRNA". It matches the Rfam family "Bacterial small subunit ribosomal RNA", at positions 354 to 796 of the family's 1533-position model. The record is from RNAcentral.